Molecule: ribosomal RNA, 494 nt
Filed under: uncultured bacterium
Lineage: Bacteria
Description: partial 16S ribosomal RNA
Rfam family: Bacterial small subunit ribosomal RNA
Source: RNAcentral
GACGAACGCUGGCGGCGUGCUUAACACAUGCAAGUCGAACGGAAAGGCCUGCUUUCCCUUGUGGAUUGCGGGUACUCGCGUGGCGAACGGGUGAGUAACACGUGAGUGAUCUGCCCCCAACUUGGGUAUAAGCCUGGGAAACUGGGUCUAAUUCCCGAUAGGACUGCAGGGUGGUGCCUGUGGUGGAAAACGAUUUUCUAGUGGUUGGGGAUGAGCUCGCGGCCUAUCAGCUUGUUGGUGGGGUAAUGGCCUACCAAGGCGGCGACGGGUAGCCGGCCUGAGAGGGUGGACGGCCACAUUGGGACUGAGAUACGGCCCAGACUCCUACGGGAGGCAGCAGUGGGGAAUAUUGCACAAGGGGCGGAAGCCUGAUGCAGCGACGCCGCGUGGGGGAUGACGGCCUUCGGGUUGUAAACUCCUUUCGACCGCGAGGAAGCCACCUGGUUGGAAGGGUGGUGACGGUAGUGGUAGAAGAAGCACCGGCUAACUACGUG